Mirounga angustirostris (Northern elephant seal) is the source of this 270-nucleotide long non-coding RNA. RefSeq lists it as uncharacterized. The record is from RefSeq and is a predicted model, not a curated record. The transcript is spliced from 3 exons. Lineage: Eukaryota; Metazoa; Chordata; Mammalia; Carnivora; Phocidae.
GGAACUGUGAAGGAACCUGUCUGACCAUGGAGGAUGAGUAGGAGACUGUGACAAUGGCCUGGGGCCGAGGAUUGCUGAGAUCCUGGUUCAAAGCAAGUGGUUUCCAUUUUAAAGGAAAAGGCAACAGCCAACCAGCAAAGACAAGGAGGGCAGGAAGAGAGAGGGAACUGGACCACCCUGCGGACAUUGCUCAGCUCCAGGACUAUGCACCAGGAAACUGUUGGGCUGCGGAACUCCCAGGCCUAGGAAACUCAAAGUUUUGGGAAGACC